GCGGCCGCCGGGUAUGGCACCGAGAGGGACGGGGCGAAGCUGGCCCCGGAGCGCGACCCGGAGGAGGACGAGGACGAGGAGGAGGCGGCUGCGCUGCUCCUGCCUCUCCUCUUUACACCGCGACCGUUCUCCCGAGCCACUUCCCUCCGGGUCCGUGCUCGCUGAGCGACACCGCAGGAGUGUACCUGAGGGCAGCCCGCGGGCCGCUGAGCGGCUAACUCCUCUGCGCUGCCUGUAGUUGGCUUGGUCACCUCACGGCAGCCUGUACCCCACUAUGGCAGGAGUAAAGGCUUUUCUGAAACGAUUCUUAGCAGUGACAGAGGUUCACUUUGGGAAGAUAUGUUUGUUAAAGGUAAAUGGGACCUGAAAAGGUCCAACAGAGUCAAAAAAGUGCUGGAGGACUCUUGCAGCCUCAAGCUACUUACAUCUUGUCUCUGGCCCCGUGAUGCUGGGCAGCUGAGUAUUCCAACUGAGGUGAAAAGAACAGACCCUAAUGAACAGCUGAGGCUGUUGCACAGUGUAGUAACUUGGUCUUCCUCCUGAUCAACCUGACAACCCUUCCUUCAAGAUUCUAAAUGCUCUUGCUGGUGUGCAUUACCAUCUUCCAAACAACUCAUCUGAUUCUACAGAACAGCAAGAAUUAUCACUCUCCAUCCACUCUUUUAGUUGCAACAUCUAUUAUGUACUCUACUUAAAAUGCCCCACAAACCCAGUUCGUCACGUCUCCUGCAGUCCUUAGGAUUCUGGUCUUUAAAUACAUGACAGUCUCUCGCAUGGAAAACUGGGGAUUUAUUCUGAAGCAGGCAGUGAGGUGGUCUCAUGGUCAGUUUGCACUGGCUAUUUCAUUCUCAAAACCCUGCAAUCCUACUCUAGUUUUGUAUCUUCCUGCAUGCAAUCUUUCAGUUUUGAACUACUAUCGUAUGAGGUAAGACAACUAAGAUCUUAUGUCUCAAAGUCAUCUACAUUUAUUUUAUAGUUUAAGUAGUGGGGUUGAUAUUUAUUGGACUAAGGCCAGCCAAAUCAGCAUGAACUAUCUCA
Molecule: long non-coding RNA, 1038 nt
Organism: Pezoporus occidentalis (night parrot)
Lineage: Eukaryota; Metazoa; Chordata; Aves; Psittaciformes; Psittacidae
Exons: 6
Source: RefSeq, a predicted model, not a curated record